UACGGGGGGGGCAAGCGUUGUUCGGAAUUACUGGGCGUAAAGGGCUCGUAGGCGGCCAACUAAGUCAGACGUGAAAUCCCCAGGCUCAACCUGGGAACUGCGUCUGAUACUGGAUGGCUUGAAUCCGGGAGAGGGAUGCAGAAUUCCAGGUGUAGCGGUGAAAUGCGUAGAUAUCAGGAGGAACACCGGUGGCGAAGGCGGGAUCCUGGGCCAGUACUGACGCUGAGGAGCGAAAGCGUGGGGAGCAAACAGG
Molecule: ribosomal RNA, 253 nt
Filed under: uncultured bacterium
Lineage: Bacteria
Description: partial 16S ribosomal RNA
Rfam family: Bacterial small subunit ribosomal RNA
Source: RNAcentral